AAUGUUCGAGUUGUAUAGAAAAAGAAUAAUAAAUGAACUUACGCUUGAUAAUCGACUUCAGUAGUCCACAAGGCUAUUAUGAAUAAACAUGGCGACCGAGGUGUUUGAUUUUACGUAUGGCGCUGCGUGAAAUUCAAUUUACGAAACGCUGGUACGUUAUGCCGCUUUGAUUUUUUAUUGUUGUGAUAUAAUUAGGAAUAUUUUGUGAAAGAACAAACAAUUUAACUCUUAAUCUGUAAGAAAAUGGAGCUUACGGAUGAGAAUUUGGUAACAUUAAGCGAAUAUUUAAAACAUACAUUAAGUCCGGAUACAAAUGUCAGAAGACCGGCUGAAAAGUUUCUGGAAUCCAUAGAAGUAAAUCAGAAUUAUCCUUUACUACUUUUACAUUUGAUAGACAAAACCGAAGUAGAUAUAACUAUAAGAAUCGCUGGUGCAGUUGCAUUUAAAAAUUAUAUAAAACGUAAUUGGAAAGUUGAGGAAGAUGCUCAAGAUCGUAUACAUGCACAGGAUAGACAUGCGAUAAAGAAAUUAAUAGUUAAUUUAAUGUUGCAUUCUCCUCAUUCAAUACAAAAACAAUUAUCCGAUGCUGUAUCAAUCAUUGGUAAACAUGAUCUUUUGAAUAAAUGGCCAGAAUUGAUCGAUCAGAUGAUUGAAAAAUUCAAUACAGGAGAUUUUCAUGUAAUAAAUGGAGUCUUACAUACGGCACAUUCUUUAUUUAAAAGAUAUAGAUACGAAUUCAAAAGUGAAAUUUUAUGGACGGAGAUUAAAUUUGUAUUGGAUCAAUUUGCAAAGCCAUUAACAGAUUUAUUUUUAACAACCAUGAAUUUAGCACAGAUACAUGCUAAUAAUGUAGAUGCCUUAAAAGUGAUAUAUAAUUCUUUGGUUAUGCUCUCUAAAGUAUUUUAUUCUCUUAAUUUUCAAGAUUUACCAGAAUUUUUUGAAGAUAAUAUGGCAUCAUGGAUGAAAAAUUUUCUUGUUAUAUUAAAUACUGAUGUACCAUCACUGGGAACAACAGAUAAUGAAGAAGCAGGAGUGAUGGAACAAUUAAAAACACAAGUUUGUGAUAAUAUCUGCCUUUAUGCUCAAAAGUACGAUGAAGAAUUCCAACCAUUUUUACCGGAAUUUGUAACAAUUGUAUGGAACUUAUUAACAUCUACAGGUCAACAGACCAAAUAUGACGCAUUAGUAUCAAGUGCAUUACAAUUCUUGGCAAUAGUAGCGGAUCGUUCUCGUUAUAGAAAUUUGUUUGAGGAUUCAGGAACUUUGAGCAGUAUCUGUGAAAAAGUUAUUAUUCCUAAUAUGGAAUUUAGAGAUUCGGAUGCUGAAUUGUUCGAAGACAAUCCAGAAGAGUACAUACGCCGUGAUAUAGAAGGUAGUGAUGUAGAUACAAGAAGGCGAGCAGCUUGUGAUUUAGUAAAAGUUCUUUCAAAGUAUUUUGAAGUCAAAAUAAUGGAAAUUUUUGGAGCUUAUAUACAGGUAAUGUUACAAAACUAUGCAGAAAAGCCUACUGAAAAUUGGCGUAGUAAAGAUGCAGCUAUUUAUUUAAUUACAAGUAGUGCCACUAAAGGACAAACGCAAAGGCAUGGAGUAACUCAAAGUAGUCAACUUGUUCCAUUACCUCAGUUUACGGCACAACACAUUGAGCCUGAACUUUCUAAACCAAAUGUUAACGAAUGUCCGGUUCUUAAAGCAGACGCAAUUAAAUUUGUAAUGUCAUUUAGAUCAGUUUUACCACAGGAAUUAGUCGUAGGAAGUUUACCACAAUUAGUUAGACAUUUGAGUGCUACGAGUAUCGUUGUUCAUACAUAUGCUGCUUGUGCAGUCGAUAAAAUACUUGCUAUGAGAGGCACAGACAAUAAUUCCUUAGUGAAAGGAAAUGACUUAAUGCCAUUAGCACCGGAUCUGCUAAAGGGACUAUUCGCAUGUUUGUCUCUGACAGGGUCAGAAGAAAAUGAGUAUGUAAUGAAAGCUAUUAUGAGAAGCUUUGGUAUAUUACAGGAUAAUAUUGUACCAUUCUUAGCAGAUUUAUUACCAAAACUUACAGAGAAACUUACAAUGGUCGCUAAAAAUCCGACGCGUCCUAAUUUCAAUCAUUAUCUAUUUGAAACAUUAAGCUUAUCUAUCAAAAUCGUUUGUAAAACAAAUCCUCAGGCUGUUUUAUCAUUCGAACAAGUUUUGUUUCCAAUAUUUCAAGAAAUUCUACAGCAAGAUAUAUCAGAAUUUAUACCGUAUGUUUUUCAAAUCUUGGCUUUAUUUUUGGAACUUAGAACUACACAGGAAAUACCAGAUCCUUACAUGGCCUUAUUCCCGUGCUUAUUAGCACCAGUUUUAUUUGAACGUCAAGCUAAUAUUCAUCCACUUAAUAGAUUAUUACAAGCUUACGUUAGUCACGGUUCACAUUUAAUAAUAGCACAAGAUAAGACCAGCGGCUUAUUGGGCGUUUUUCAAAAAUUAAUAGCAUCUAAGAUUAACGAUCGUGAAGCUUUCUUCUUAUUGCAAUGUAUCAUCGAACAUUUUCCACCGAGUACAUUGGAACCAUUUAUGAAGCAAAUUUUUGUAUUGCUAUUCCAAAGGCUUUCUUCUUCUAAAACGACAAAAUUUGUACAGGGAUUGAUAAUAUUUUUUGCGUAUUAUAUUAUUAGAUAUAAUGCUACUAGUUUGGUUAAUAUUAUAGAUCAAAUACAACCACAAAUGUUUGGAAUGGUUGUUGAACGUAUAUUAUUAUCGGAUUUACAAAAGGUAUCAGGUGAUAUAGAAAAGAAAGUAACGGCUGUAGGAAUGUCGAAUUUAUUAAUAGAUUGUCCACCGAUGCUUGAAAGCCCAUAUAAUUCAUAUUAUCCGCGGCUUUUAGCUGCAUUGAUCGAAUUCUUCGAAUCGUCCCAAGAUGAAACUUUAUUACCCGAGGAUAGUAUAAUGCCUGAAUUUGAGGAUGCAAUGGAAUAUCAAGUUGGUUACAGUCAGCUUGUAUAUGCAAAAAUGCCAAAAAAAGAUCCAUUGCAAUCUAUUGGCGAUGUACGUUUACAUUUGGCACAAGGACUUGGGAGAUUAUCACCAGGACAAUUACCAGGACUCCUUGGACAAAUUCCAGAACCAAAUGCAAAUCAUUUAAGAAAUUAUCUUCAAACUGCUGGCAUUACGGUUGCAUAAUAUGAGCUGGAUAUCAGAAAUAGAUUGAAGAUACAUUUGAUAUCACGAAAGAUAACAAACAUCAAAUUGAAUAAAUUAGCAUAGAGAUCAGCAGAGCGCCAACUAUAUUCUCUUCAUCAUUCAGAGCAGGUAGAACAGAACCGGUAAGUCGAUAAUAUCCGGGGUUUGUGAAAAGCCUUCGCCUAUAUACCACCUUCGAAAGCACUGGGCCAGCGAGUUACAAGAUCUAUAGAACAAUAAAAAGAAUGUUUAGAUCGAAGAAAGAAUAAUAAUUUGAUUAGCACGGUGUUGGUAAUGUAAAUAAAAAAAAAAUAGAAAGAAAAUAAAUAAACAAUAAAGAAACAAGAAGAUAUGAAAGAAACGUCGAUCAUCAUAAUACCCUGGAAUAAAAGAUAAAAAAGGAAGGAGGCAGUAAAAAAAAAAAAAAAAAAAAAGAAAAAAAAGAAAAAAAAAAGAAAAAGAGAAAAAGAAAACAAAAGAAAGAAAAAUGAAAUUGCUCCCAUGAUUUAUGAAAAUAAAUAUUCCUUUGUAAAAGGUAUUGCAUUGUUUUCUCGUUCCCUUCUUUAUUAUUUUUCUUUUUUAUUUAUUUGUUUUCUAUUUUCUUUUUUUUUUUUUACUUUUCUUUUCCUUUAUCAAACGGAGAAUCAUAAUUUGGGAUCGUUUGGGAUUUGUAAAAGAUUCGCGGUUUUGAUGUCCCUCCCUCUCCCUCUCUAUCUCUCUCUCUCUCUCUCUAUAUAUAUAUAUAUAUAUAUAUAUAUAUAUAUAUAAUGUAAUAUAUAUAUAUAUCUGUUGAGAGAACAUGGCUACCGACGAAACCUCAAGUCAUGUACUGACGAAAGGAUUCUUCCUACAUCCUGUUAUACUCCUACAUAUAUACAUAGAUAUAUACGUAACGUUCUAUCGUAUUUUGUAACGGAGGAAUGCCAUAGGGAACGAAGAGGAAAAUCGUCGUACAUAUAUAUGUCCACGUUUCUAACGCUUGAUACCAUUCUGUAAUUUUAUUUCGGAUUAAGGAUUUUAUAUAGCAUUGAAAAACGAAGAAUGAAAUUAUAGAAGAGAUAUGUUUAUGUAUGUGC
This is an RNA transcript of Vespa velutina, 4223 nucleotides long. It is a transcript of the gene named exportin-2, with no coding region annotated. The record is from RefSeq and is a predicted model, not a curated record. Lineage: Eukaryota; Metazoa; Arthropoda; Insecta; Hymenoptera; Vespidae. The transcript is spliced from 21 exons.